GGGUUAAAACGCUGGCGGCGUGCCUAAUACAUGCAAGUCGAGCGAACUGAUUAGAAGCUUGCUUCUAUGACGUUAGCGGCGGACGGGUGAGUAACACGUGGGCAACCUGCCUGUAAGACUGGGAUAACUCCGGGAAACCGGAGCUAAUACCGGAUAACAUUUUCUCUUGCAUAAGAGAAAAUUGAAAGAUGGUUUCGGCUAUCACUUACAGAUGGGCCCGCGGUGCAUUAGCUAGUUGGUGAGGUAACGGCUCACCAAGGCAACGAUGCAUAGCCGACCUGAGAGGGUGAUCGGCCACACUGGGACUGAGACACGGCCCAGACUCCUACGGGAGGCAGCAGUAGGGAAUCUUCCGCAAUGGACGAAAGUCUGACGGAGCAACGCCGCGUGAGUGAUGAAGGCUUUCGGGUCGUAAAACUCUGUUGUUAGGGAAGAACAAGUACAAGAGUAACUGCUUGUACCUUGACGGUACCUAACCAGAAAGCCACGGCUAACUACGUGCCAGCCCGCCGCGGUA
This 517-nucleotide ribosomal RNA is filed under the name Priestia flexa. RNAcentral's name for it is "bacterial SSU rRNA". It matches the Rfam family "Bacterial small subunit ribosomal RNA", at positions 32 to 522 of the family's 1533-position model. The record is from RNAcentral. Lineage: Bacteria; Bacillati; Bacillota; Bacilli; Caryophanales; Bacillaceae.